GAGUUUGAUUCUGGCUCAGGAUGAACGCUGACAGAAUGUUUAACACAUGCAAGUCGAUGAGGAAGGGGCCUACGGGCUUUGGUACUCAUGGCGGACGGGUGAGUAACGCGUAAAGAACCUGCCUUGGGUUUUGGGAUAACAGCGGGAAACUGCUGAUAAUACCGGAUAUAAUGAACUGUACGCAUGUAUGGGACAUGAAGAGAGAUGACCUGAGAGGGCUUUGCGCCCUAUUAGCUAGUUGGAGAGGUGAAGGCUCACCAAGGCGAUGAUAGGUAGCCGGCCUGAGAGGGUGGACGGCCACAAGGGGACUGAGAUACGGCCCUUACUCCUACGGGAGGCAGCAGUGGGGAAUAUUGGACAAUGGAGGGAAUGACUCUGAUCCAGCAAUUCUGUGUGCACGAAGAAGGUUUUCGGACUGUAAAGUGCUUUCAGCCGGGGAAGAAGGAAGUGACGUACCCGCGNAA
Molecule: ribosomal RNA, 464 nt
Filed under: Leptotrichia sp. canine oral taxon 319
Lineage: Bacteria; Fusobacteriati; Fusobacteriota; Fusobacteriia; Fusobacteriales; Leptotrichiaceae
Description: bacterial SSU rRNA
Rfam family: Bacterial small subunit ribosomal RNA
Source: RNAcentral